RNAcentral lists this non-coding RNA (25 nucleotides) under Mus musculus (house mouse). The record is from RNAcentral. Lineage: Eukaryota; Metazoa; Chordata; Mammalia; Rodentia; Muridae.
UGAAAAAGGAAUGUGUUCUCGCUGU